AACGUUUCGAAAGGAACGCUAAUACCGCAUACGUCCUACGGGAGAAAGCAGGGACCUUCGGGCCUUGCGCUAUCAGAUGAGCCUAGGUCGGAUUAGCUAGUUGGCGGGGUAAAGGCCCACCAAGGCGACGAUCCGUAGCUGGUCUGAGAGGAUGAUCAGCCACACUGGAACUGAGACACGGUCCAGACUCCUACGGGAGGCAGCAGAG
This 208-nucleotide ribosomal RNA is filed under the name uncultured Pseudomonas sp. RNAcentral's name for it is "partial 16S ribosomal RNA". It matches the Rfam family "Bacterial small subunit ribosomal RNA", at positions 145 to 354 of the family's 1533-position model. Lineage: Bacteria; Pseudomonadati; Pseudomonadota; Gammaproteobacteria; Pseudomonadales; Pseudomonadaceae. The record is from RNAcentral.